Molecule: ribosomal RNA, 392 nt
Filed under: uncultured ciliate
Lineage: Eukaryota; Ciliophora
Description: partial small subunit ribosomal RNA
Rfam family: Eukaryotic small subunit ribosomal RNA
Source: RNAcentral
GCUUGUCUCAAAGAUUAAGCCAUGCAUGUCUAAGUACAAGCCUCAGUAAGGUGAAACCGCGAAUGGCUCAUUAAAUCACACCUAAUCUACUGGAAAGUUACUAGUUACUUGGAUAACUGAGGUAAUUCUUGAGCUAAUACAUGCUAUAUGCCCGGCUUCUGGCAGGGCUGUAUUUAUUAGAUACUAAACCAGUGUCGCAAGACAUUGUGGUGAAUCACAGUAACUGAUCGAAUCGGCGCGCAAGCGGCGAUAAAUCAUUCAAGUUUCUGCCCUAUCAGCUUUCGAUGGUAGUGUAUUGGACUACCAUGGCAGUCACGGGUAACGGAGAAUUAGGGUUCGGUUCCGGAGAGGGAGCCUGAGAAACGGCUACCACAUCUAAGGAAGGCAGCAGG